Molecule: ribosomal RNA, 775 nt
Filed under: uncultured Neocallimastigales
Lineage: Eukaryota; Fungi; Neocallimastigomycota; Neocallimastigomycetes; Neocallimastigales
Description: partial large subunit ribosomal RNA
Rfam family: Eukaryotic large subunit ribosomal RNA
Source: RNAcentral
CGUCUAUAUACGUAUAGCAUAUCAAUAAGCGGAGGAAAAGAAACUAACAAGGAUUCCCUUAGUAACGGCGAGUGAAGCGGGAAGAGCUCAAAUUUGAAAUCUUCAAGGUUCUACCUUGACGAAUUGUAGUUUAAAGAAGUGUUUUCUGUUAGUGGAGUGGCAAAAGUUCUUUGGAAUAGGACAUCAUAGAGGGUGAGAAUCCCGUAUUUGGUCAUUCCUUCUAGCUUUGUGAUACACUUUCAAAGAGUCGGAUUGUUUGGGAAUGCAGUCCAAAAUGGGUGGUAAAUUUCAUCUAAAGCUAAAUAUUGGCGAGAGACCGAUAGCGAACAAGUACCGUGAGGGAAAGAUGAAAAGAACUUUGAAAAGAGAGUUAAACAGUACGUGAAAUUGUCAAAAGGGAAGCGUUUGACACCAGUGUUGUUUUUCCGAAAAUCAAUUAAGAAUGUUUUAUUUUUGAGGAGUUAUGACUUCAUCGGCUUGCUCCUCUCUUUAUGAAACUUUCUUAAUGCACUUUUCGGUUAACAAGUCAACAUCAAUUUCUUUUGUUGUAAAAGAGUAUGAGGAAGGUGGCUUUCUUUUCGGAGAAAGUGUUUAUAGCCUUGUGCCUCUGCAAUCGGAGAGAUUGAGGUCUGCAGCGUAGAUCCUUCGGGGUUAGAUACACUUUGUGCUAAGUUAUAGCUUUUCAUAGACAACUUGUUGACUAUGUUAAGUCUUGUAGCUUACUCGCUGACUGCUAUUUUACCUACGCUUAGGAUGUUGACGAGACUGUCGAUCU